This 402-nucleotide ribosomal RNA is filed under the name uncultured bacterium. Its description in RNAcentral is "bacterial SSU rRNA". It matches the Rfam family "Bacterial small subunit ribosomal RNA", at positions 355 to 774 of the family's 1533-position model. The record is from RNAcentral.
UGGGGAAUCUUGCACAAUGGGGGCAACCCUGAUGCAGCGACGCCGCGUGAGCGAUGAAGCCCUUCGGGGCGUAAAGCUCUUUCGACCGGAACGAUAAUGACGGUACCGGGAGAAGAAGCUGCGGCUAACUACGUGCCAGCAGCCGCGGUAAUUCGUAGGCAGCAAGCGUUGUUCGGAGUUACUGGGCGUAAAGAGUGCGUAGGCGGUUUUCUAAGUUCGGUGUGAAAUCUCCCGGCUUAACUGGGAGGGUGCGCCGAAGACUGGGAAGCUGGAGUGUGGGAAAGGCAGGCGGAAUUCCUGGUGUAGCGGUGAAAUGCGUAGAUAUCAGGAGGAACACCGGCGGUGUAGACGGCUUGCUAGACCAUAACUGACGCUGAGGCACGAAAGCGUGGGUAGCAAACA